Long non-coding RNA from Neltuma alba, 867 nucleotides. RefSeq lists it as uncharacterized. The transcript has 3 exons. Lineage: Eukaryota; Viridiplantae; Streptophyta; Magnoliopsida; Fabales; Fabaceae. The record is from RefSeq and is a predicted model, not a curated record.
CCACUACUAGCUCUAUCUCCGCCGGAUUAAGUGCUCCUUGUACUGGGUGAAAGAGUUAAGAACAACCCAGCAAACGUGAGGAAAGGGAGCAACAAAUUGCCAAUGAAAUCAAACAACUCAUACCUAAAUCACAUUUGAAGACAGAAGUAUCGACACCAUUAAUGGCUAGAAUAUCGAUAAGGUUUGGGUCAUCGAGUUUGAUGAUGGUGAACCAUCUUUGCUGAACCUGACUCUGUCGACCUUGCGUCCUCGCCCUUCUUGAUGGCAUUCACGAAUUUGGUUUGGGGGUAACAAGAAGAAGAUUUUGAGCAACGUGGAGGAGCUGAACGGACUUGAUUUGCUGGGUUGAAGAGCAGUAAGUGGUCACUAAAUACAGAAAGAUGAAAAGAAGAAGCCGAUGGAAAGAGAUGGAUUCAAGAAUUAUCUCUGAAACCAGAGUGGCAGAGGGUGAGAACUAUCGGGAUGACGGAGUUGGACGUGGUGGAUCCGGAUCGGGUAUAAGCAUGGAGCGAGAUGGGUUGACCCUUGGUGAAGUAGUUCUUCGAGGUGGUUGCCUCACGUUGCGCUACUUGAAAGAUCCAAAAGAACUCCAGGUGCUUCAAGAAUGGAUGGUUCUACAGUUGGGGCGUGGGAGUGAUGCAUCCAGAUGGGUACUUAGAGAUUAAAGAUCGAUCAAAGGAUGUGAUCAUAAGUGGGAGUGAGAAUCUGAGUGGCGUGGAGGCUGAAUCAAUGCUGUACAACCACCCGGCGGUGAACGAGGCGACGGUGGCGGCGAGGCCGGAUGAGUUCUGGGGAGAGACACUGUGUGCGUUCAUUCGAUUGAAGGAGGGAUCAGAGAAGACGCCGGCAGAAAUAAUUUUUAAACAA